CAGCAUGCAGUGCCAUCAAGCUUCAGUAGAAUGCCGAGCACACAAGUGGGACUGAGAAUUAUAACCCUGAAGUCUAAGCAGGGGACCCCUCAGGAAUCUGGAACAAGGACCCCACAGCAUGAGCAAGUGCCAUGGUCUCUGCAAGGAAAGUCACCUGCAGUGGCAGAAGCAGCAGUGCUGAUGGCUGAUUGGACUCUUAGUUCUCCCUCUAAACGUGGAACUUGAGCUGCUAUUGCAACACUAAAAGUGAGGGUGAUUCAGAAUUCAGACCUCAUCCUUCGCACGCUCUCCUUGGCAGAACUCAUCACCCCCAUGACUUCUACUGGCACAUUUACGAUGUUGACUUCCAAUGUGCCCUUCAGUCCUUACCUCUCUCCUGAGUAUCACUUCACCCAUGCUUGAAAUUUCCAUCUAGAUAUCCCGUGACUUUUAAACACAAGAACUCUGAAAGACACAACUCCACAAAGAAAAGCUGAACUAGUAAUCAAAAGAAUCUAGUCCUGGUCAGAGCUCUAAGGUAUGGCUCACUGGGGGACUUUCAGAGAGAAAUUCAUCGCUGGAGAAUGAGGAGACUGGAGUAUAUUUAUGGAUCUCAGAUUUCUAGAUAGAAUCACCAGUGUUCUAUGAAAGACCAUUGGGGCUGUUGGUGGAGAAAAGAUAGUGGGCCUCAAAGGAUAAUGUUCCGAUGCUGCCACAGCCACUUAUACUAGAGCAACUCUGGGUUCAUCAGUCAUAUUUAUUUGACUUCCUUCUAAGAUUUAUGUGAACAAAUGCAAGUGUUUUUGAAAUGCAGUGUGUGUGUAAUGCUCACGACUUUGAAAUGCAAAUUUUCUUGAAAUGUUCUGCCUUUGAAACAUGUAUGUUCCUCUCAAGAGCACGUAUCUCUGACAUCAAGACAUGUAUUUGAAAUACAGUUUACAAAUUGUAAAGUAUUGAAAUAAUUUCUUUUUAAAGUUGCUUGUCUGUUAAAUACACCUAUCUUGAAAUACACCAUUGUGUCUUUGAAAUGCAUCUGUCUCAGAAACACAAAAUGCAAUUUUUUUCAAAGCCUGAUUCUUAAAACUGCAUUUGUGUUUAAAAUAGUCCCUCUUGAAGUGCACAAAUGUUAGAACUUUAAGCGACACUGAUAUGCAAGUAUCUUUGAAAAGUGCAUUUAUUUUUGAAAUACUCCUAUGUAGUAAAAUCUUCCCCUUUUGUUUUAACUUCUAGCCCCAGACAACUCAUGCUAGAACUGUUAAAUGACUACUUGUGAUCGCCUUGUCUUCCUUCACUCCUUCUUAAUAAGUUCUAUAUACUUGAAUCAUAUUCAUUCUCCUGGUCAUCACAUUCAUGAUCUGACUCCAUUUUGAAAAACCUCAUCA
RNAcentral lists this long non-coding RNA (1361 nucleotides) under Equus caballus (horse). RNAcentral describes it as "lncRNA (ENSECAG00000050569.1)". Lineage: Eukaryota; Metazoa; Chordata; Mammalia; Perissodactyla; Equidae. The record is from RNAcentral.